This 74-nucleotide transfer RNA is filed under the name Paenibacillaceae bacterium. RNAcentral describes it as "tRNA-Gln". It matches the Rfam family "tRNA". From Rfam's summary of the family: Transfer RNA (tRNA) molecules are approximately 80 nucleotides in length. Their secondary structure includes four short double-helical elements and three loops (D, anti-codon, and T loops). The record is from RNAcentral. Lineage: Bacteria; Bacillati; Bacillota; Bacilli; Caryophanales; Paenibacillaceae.
UGGGGAUUAGCCAAGCGGUAAGGCAACGGACUUUGACUCCGUCAUCCUAGGUUCGAAUCCUUGAUCCCCAGCCA